AACGCACAUUGCGCCUCCUGGUAUUCCGGGAGGCACGUCCGUUUGAGCGUCAGCUUAAUCUUCCAGAGAACUUUUGUAACCUGGGCUUUGACAUCGGGGGAUCGACCCCUGCCUAAACACGAUGAAGCUGGCGGCACCGACCGCAACGACUCAUAGAAUUUCUACCCGUCGUAAGCGGUUCGGCGCAGCACUUUGAAAAAUCGAGCCCUGCGGCUCUUUAUUUUUGACCUCAAAUCGGACGAGGAUACCCGCUGAACUUAA
This 261-nucleotide unclassified non-coding RNA is filed under the name uncultured fungus. RNAcentral describes it as "partial contains 5.8S ribosomal RNA, internal transcribed spacer 2, and large subunit ribosomal RNA". The record is from RNAcentral. Lineage: Eukaryota; Fungi.